This 76-nucleotide transfer RNA is filed under the name Saurogobio lissilabris. Its description in RNAcentral is "tRNA-Leu". It matches the Rfam family "tRNA". From Rfam's summary of the family: Transfer RNA (tRNA) molecules are approximately 80 nucleotides in length. Their secondary structure includes four short double-helical elements and three loops (D, anti-codon, and T loops). Lineage: Eukaryota; Metazoa; Chordata; Actinopteri; Cypriniformes; Gobionidae. The record is from RNAcentral.
ACUGGGGUGGCAGAGCAUGGUAAAUUGCAAAAGGCCUAAGCCCUUUACAUCAGAGGUUCAAAUCCUCUCCCCAGUU